This is a small nuclear RNA of Rattus rattus (black rat), 190 nucleotides long. RefSeq annotates it as U2 spliceosomal RNA. The record is from RefSeq and is a predicted model, not a curated record. The transcript has a single exon. NCBI's taxonomy places the organism in Eukaryota, Metazoa, Chordata, Mammalia, Rodentia, Muridae.
AUCGCUUCUCGGCCUUUUGGCUAAGAUCAAGUGUAAAAUCCAUUUGGGAAUCCUACCUAACGAUAAAAACUCUGUGUCAAUAAUUUAAGGUAUUCCUUCUAAUUUUUGGUAGUUUAUGUUUUGUGGACAACAUGUCUGAAGUAUAUAAUUGCAGAACAAUUGUAGUGUGAAAGUUGGUGCUGUUGACUUU